RNAcentral lists this long non-coding RNA (358 nucleotides) under Olea europaea (common olive). Its description in RNAcentral is "long non-coding RNA (OEUR_LNC010580)". Lineage: Eukaryota; Viridiplantae; Streptophyta; Magnoliopsida; Lamiales; Oleaceae. The record is from RNAcentral.
AGAGAACCACCAUCCCUCAUUUAAGCCCGACGGAAGUGACGAAUCAACAACCGCCUCAAGCGCCACCCGCGGUUGUCUCACCCACCUCUCAGCGGGGAGCGGGAGACGCGGGAGCCCCAAUGACCGGAGCUCAACAGCCCCCGCAAACCAUGGUGGACCUGGAACGAAAGAUGGAAGAAAUCAUGUCACAGAAGAUAGACGAUGCGCUGUCCAAAAGGAAGGAUAGGCGGAGACAGAUGGUUUUGGAGGAGGACCCGUUCGCCCCAGAAAUCAUGGCGGUCCCUUUGCCUAAAGGCUUCAAACAGCCCAUGAUUGAAGCCUAUGAUGGAGUCACGGACCCGCUUGACCAUCUACGAAC